GGGNNUUCNGAGUUUUACAACUCAUCAACCCUGUGAACAUACCUAAAACGUUGCCUCGGCGGGAACAGACGGCCCCGUAACACGGGCCGCCCCCGCCAGAGGACCCCCUAACUCUGUUUCUAUAAUGUUUCUUCUGAGUAAACAAGCAAAUAAAUUAAAACUUUCAACAACGGAUCUCUUGGCUCUGGCAUCGAUGAAGAACGCAGCGAAAUGCGAUAAGUAAUGUGAAUUGCAGAAUUCAGUGAAUCAUCGAAUCUUUGAACGCACAUUGCGCCCGCCAGUAUUCUGGCGGGCAUGCCUGUUCGAGCGUCAUUACAACCCUCAGGCCCCCGGGCCUGGCGUUGGGGAUCGGCGGAAGCCCCCUGCGGGCACAACGCCGUCCCCCAAAUACAGUGGCGGUCCCGCCGCAGCUUCCAUUGCGUAGUAGCUAACACCUCGCAACUGGAGAGCGGCGCGGCCACGCCGUAAAACACCCAACUUCUGAAUGUUGACCUCGAAUCAGGUAGGAAUACCCGCUGAACUUAAGCAUAUCAAUAAGCGGAGAAA
RNAcentral lists this ribosomal RNA (546 nucleotides) under Fusarium solani. Its description in RNAcentral is "eukaryotic LSU rRNA". The stretch from base 159 to 312 matches the Rfam family "5.8S ribosomal RNA". Lineage: Eukaryota; Fungi; Ascomycota; Sordariomycetes; Hypocreales; Nectriaceae. The record is from RNAcentral.